GAUGAACGCUAGCUACAGGCUUAACACAUACAAGUCGAGGGGCAGCAUGGGCUUAGCUUGCUAAGCCCGAUGGCGACCGGCGCACGGGUGAGUAACACGUAUCCAACCUUCCGGUAACUCCGGUAUAGCCUUUCGAAAGAAAGAUUAAUCCCGGAUAGUAUGGUGAUUCCGCAUGGUUGGGAUAUUAAAGAACUUCGGUUAUCGAUGGGGAUGCGUUCCAUUAGCUUGUUGGCGGGGUAACGGCCCACCAAGGCUUCGAUGGAUAGGGGUUCUGAGAGGAAGGUCCCCCACACUGGAACUGAGACACGGUCCAA
RNAcentral lists this ribosomal RNA (314 nucleotides) under uncultured bacterium. RNAcentral's name for it is "bacterial SSU rRNA". It matches the Rfam family "Bacterial small subunit ribosomal RNA", at positions 28 to 334 of the family's 1533-position model. The record is from RNAcentral.